Photobacterium damselae subsp. damselae CIP 102761 is the source of this 99-nucleotide regulatory RNA element. It matches the Rfam family "TPP riboswitch aptamer (THI element)". From Rfam's summary of the family: Vitamin B(1) in its active form thiamin pyrophosphate (TPP) is an essential coenzyme that is synthesised by coupling of pyrimidine and thiazole moieties in bacteria. The previously detected thiamin-regulatory element, thi box was extended, resulting in a new, highly conserved RNA secondary structure, the THI element, which is widely distributed in eubacteria and also occurs in some archaea. The record is from Rfam. NCBI's taxonomy places the organism in Bacteria, Pseudomonadati, Pseudomonadota, Gammaproteobacteria, Vibrionales, Vibrionaceae.
GCUGUUCUCAUGGGGUGCCUUUGGCUGAGAUUGAGUAAUCAGAACCCAUCGAACCUGAACCAGAUCAUGCUGGCGUAGGAAUUGAGAAGCCCCUCUAGU